UGAGGAACAUGACUUUCGGUGGGGGAGUGUGCUCGCGGCCUAUCAGCUUGAUGGUGGGGUAAUGGCCUACCAAGGCGUCGACGGGUAGCCGGCCUGAGAGGGCGACCGGCCACACUGGGACUGAGACACGGCCCAGACUCCUACGGGAG
This 149-nucleotide ribosomal RNA is filed under the name uncultured bacterium. RNAcentral's name for it is "partial 16S ribosomal RNA". It matches the Rfam family "Bacterial small subunit ribosomal RNA", at positions 202 to 347 of the family's 1533-position model. The record is from RNAcentral.